Molecule: small nuclear RNA, 141 nt
Gene: U4
Rfam family: U4 spliceosomal RNA
About the family: U4 small nuclear RNA (U4 snRNA) is a component of the major U2-dependent spliceosome. The structure of U4 snRNA from yeast and human has been reported.
Source: Ensembl
AUUCUUGCGCCGUGGCAGUAUCCUAGCUUAUGAGGUUUAUCUGAGGUGCGAUUAUUGCUAAUUGAAAACUUUACCCAAUACCCUGCCGUGAUGACUUGAGAUAUAGUCGGCACUGGCAAUUUUUGACAGUCUCCCAGGAGG